CUGUAUGUGGUUGUGGGGUUUAGUGGAAUCAUCUUUGUUACUGCUGACGGACAGGGAGAUAUUUCUAUCAACGUGUUGUGGUAAUGAUAUUUACAGUAUUCACAUUAAUGAUACAAUUAAUGAAAUAUGCAAAGCAUGUCUUGGACUUCGAUGUAGACCAAAGUGUCCAGAGGGACAUUAUGGAAAGCAGUGUGAUAAAACCUGUACUUGUGAUGCUGACGUAUGUGACGAUGUGUCAGGAUGCGUCACAGCUGGUAAAAAUUCAUGUGAUAAGUGUUCUUACUUAAGAAUUACAUCUCUUCUGCAUUGAAAAAAUAACUAUUUAUUGGGGAAGGGUCUAGUGAAUCGCGAACUAUAAUUGUUUUAUGUGUUUUUGAUUAGAAUUUUGAUUUUGAUUUCCUCUUCAUAAGAUUAUUAGUAACUAUUUAUUUGCAAUAUUUUCCUUUCAAUUUCUUUGUCCAUACGACCUUUAGUGUAAAUACCAUGCAGAAAGUUUUAAUAUUUGCAAACAUUAUUUUAUCUGUUUUUCUGAGGAACUGCACAAAGUUUCAUUUGAAUUUUUCAGAAGCCAGUGAUAAUUUUCGACAUUUUCUACACUGUUGUCAUAUUUUCUGUCAUGCAUUGAGGCUUGUUUAUUUGA
Long non-coding RNA from Magallana angulata, 640 nucleotides. RefSeq lists it as uncharacterized. NCBI's taxonomy places the organism in Eukaryota, Metazoa, Mollusca, Bivalvia, Ostreida, Ostreidae. The record is from RefSeq and is a predicted model, not a curated record. The transcript has 3 exons.